Pan troglodytes (chimpanzee) is the source of this 1756-nucleotide long non-coding RNA. RefSeq lists it as uncharacterized. The record is from RefSeq and is a predicted model, not a curated record. Lineage: Eukaryota; Metazoa; Chordata; Mammalia; Primates; Hominidae. The transcript is spliced from 3 exons.
UGAUCUCAUAUGUGGAAUCACAGAAAUUAUGCAAUUUGUACUUCAUAGCUUAUACAUGCAUAUAGAUUUUGUUUUUACCAGAACCACGCUGGUAAAAACAGAUGCUGCACAAAGUUAACUUGCCCGUUUUCAUCGCACUUUAUGUGCACGAAUUCUGCCUCUACUCUCGACCUGGGACUCACCGAUGCGUAAGGAAGGACUGAAAAGCAAAAGAACUAUGGACUGGCCUUUUGGCAUGAUCAGGUGUCUAAUAUAAAGAAGUGCAUGAAUAAGAAAAUAUAUGAUAUGUGUGAUGGUUAAUACUGACUGUCAACUUGAUUGGAUUGAAGGAUGCAAAGUAUUGAUCCUGGGUGUGUCUGUGAGGGUGUUGCCAAAGGAGAUUAACAUUUGAGUCAGUGGCCUGGGAAAGGCCGACCCACUGUUAAUCUAGAUGGACACCAUCUAAUCAGGUGCCAGUGCAGCUAGAAAUGUAAAGCAGACAGAAAAAUGCGAAAGGAGAGACUGGCCUAGCCUCCCAGCCUACAUCUGUCUCCCACGCGGGAUGCUUCCUGCCCUCGAACAUCGGACUCCAAGUUCUUCAGUUUGGGACUUGGACUGGCUCUCCUUGCUCCUCAGCUUGAAGACUGCCCAUUGUGGGACUUGUGAUCAUAGGUGGAGCACCCAUCCAGUGAGGCUGUGAGGAAGGCCAUAUACCAAGAAUAGGAGAAAGCUAGAAGGAGCCCAUACCUCUGACUGCCCUCGACUGCCCACGCAAGAACUCAUGCUGGAAAAACAAAGCCCUGUUUAGGUGCCAUGAUAAAUAAGCCAGUUUGAGUCACUUGGUCUAAUAUCGAGACCAUGAACAUAUUGAUCACAGAAUGUGUUAGGUAAGCGUGUUGUUGACUGAAGUGUAAGUAAGGUGCUCACCUUAAAUGCAUGUGCCAACAUCAGCAUCUUCAGAAGAGUCUCUUUCCCUUUGGGACAUCGAGGUGACUGACAGUUAAACAAGCCGUAUUUGGAGUAGGUGUACAAUCAGCCUCCUUCCAGUUCUCCUUGGCACUUUCCAGUUCACAAAGGACAGUUAGGGCUUCACUCCUUUUUGGUUUUUUGAGACAGGGUCUCACUCUGUCACCCAGGCUAGAGUACAGUGGUGAGAUCACCCCUCACUGCAACCUCCGUCUCCUGGGCUCAAGUGAUCCUCCCACCUCAGCCUCCCAAGUAGCUGGUACCACAGGUGCAUGCCACCACACCUGGCUGAUUUUUGUAUUUUGUGUAGAGGGGGGUAUUGCCCUAUCACCUAGGCUGGAAGGCUGUUAAGAGGAGAACUGAGCAAUGAGGAUCCCAUCCUGGACUUUGCAGACUUGCUGUGCUUUUGAAUGCUUCUCUCAUGGUCAGAGCCUGCACUGGAAAAGAUGGCAUUUGGGACAACACACCUGGCUGCUGCCCCAGGAAGAAAGUAGUGAACACUGGAGGACUGUCAGCCCUGUCAGUUUCUGGAAAUGUGCCCUGAGUUUAAGUUCUGGUUUCAGAUUAUGAGGAGCAAAAUUACUGAGUAGGCCUCCUCCUAGAACAGGAAGCUCUUCCCGCCGUGGGCCAGUGGCUCUGACAUAUCACAGAGCCUGCUCUGAUGAAGGCAGCAGGAAUGAUUUCAAAACAAGCAAAACCAAAGAAAACUGUUUGACAAUGGAAGUAAUAGAGGCUCAUUUUAGAAAACAUAGACAUAAAGAAAAAAAGAAGAAUCUUCCAUAACCCACAGAUUAUAACUACUUACAUACCU